CCCAGACUCCUACGGGAGGCAGCAGUGGGGAAUAUUGCACAAUGGGGGAAACCCUGAUGCAGCGACGCCGCGUGAGCGAUGAAGUAUUUCGGUAUGUAAAGCUCUAUCAGCAGGGAAGAAGAUGACGGUACCUGACUAAGAAGCCCCGGCUAACUACGUGCCAGCAGCCGCGGUAAUACGUAGGGGGCAAGCGUUAUCCGGAUUUACUGGGUGUAAAGGGAGCGUAGACGGCGAUGCAAGCCAGAUGUGAAAGCCCGGGGCUCAACCCCGGGACUGCAUUUGGAACUGUGUGGCUGGAGUGCCGGAGAGGCAGGCGGAAUUCCUAGUGUAGCGGUGAAAUGCGUAGAUAUUAGGAGGAACACCAGUGGCGAAGGCGGCCUGCUGGACGGUGACUGACGCUGAGGCUCGAAAGCGUGGGGAGCAAACAGGAUUAGAUACCCCUGUAGAU
Molecule: ribosomal RNA, 448 nt
Filed under: uncultured bacterium
Lineage: Bacteria
Description: bacterial SSU rRNA
Rfam family: Bacterial small subunit ribosomal RNA
Source: RNAcentral